GGGCGUAAAGCGUGCGCAGGCGGUUUUGUAAGUCUGUCGUGAAAUCCCCGGGCUCAACCUGGGAACUGCGCUUAUGACUGGCAAGCUAGAGUACGGCAGAGGGGGGUGGAAUUCCACGUGUAGCAGUGAAAUGCGUAGAGAUGUGGAGGAACACCAAUGGCGAAGGCAGCCCCCUGGGUCGAUACUGACGCUCAUGCACGAAAGCGUGGGUAGCAAACAGGAUUAGAUACCCUGGUAGUCCACGCCCUAAACGAUGUCAACUAGGUGUUGGGAGGGUAAACCUUUUAGUACCGGAGCUAACGCGUGAAGUUGACCGCCUGGGGAGUACGGCCGCAAGGUUAAAACUCAAAGGAAUUGACGGGGACCCGCACAAGCGGUGGAUGAUGUGGAUUAAUUCGAUGCAACGCGAAAAACCUUACCUACCCUUGACAUGUCCAGGAGCCUGAAGAGAUUUGGGUGUGCCCGAAAGGGAACUGGAACACAGGUGCUGCAUGGCUGUCGUCAGCUCGUGUCGUGAGAUGUUGGGUUAAGUCCGCAACGAGCGCAACCCUUGUCAUUAGUUGCUACGAAAGAGCACUCUAAUGAGACUGCCGGUGACAAACCGGAGGAAGGUGGGGAUGACGUCAAGUCCUCAUGGCCCUUAUGGGUAGGGCUUCACACGUCAUACAAUGGUACAUACAGAGGGCCGCCAACCCGCGAGGGGGAGCUAAUCCCAGAAAGUGUAUCGUAGUCCGGAUUGUAGUCUGCAACUCGACUACAUGAAGUUGGAAUCGCUAGUA
Molecule: ribosomal RNA, 779 nt
Filed under: uncultured Hydrogenophilales bacterium
Lineage: Bacteria; Pseudomonadati; Pseudomonadota; Hydrogenophilia; Hydrogenophilales
Description: bacterial SSU rRNA
Rfam family: Bacterial small subunit ribosomal RNA
Source: RNAcentral